CGCGGCCUAUCAGCUUGUUGGUGAGGUAACGGCUCACCAAGGCAACGACGGGUAGCUGGUCUGAGAGGACGAUCAGCCACACUGGAACUGAGAUACGGUCCAGACUCCUACGGGAGGCAGCAGCAGGGAAUCUUGCGCAAUGGGCGAAAGCCUGACGCAGCGACGCCGCGUGGGGGAUGAAGGCCUUAGGGUUGUAAACCCCUUUCACGAGGGAAGAAGAUGACGGUACCUCGAGAAGAAGCCCCGGCCAACUACGUGCCAGCAGCCGCGGUAAGACGUGGGGGGCGAGCGUUGUCCGGAUUUAUUGGGCGUAAAGGGCUCGUAGGCGGCUUGACAAGUCGGCCGUGAAAACCCAGGGCUCAACCCUGGGACGCCGGUCGAUACUGUCAUGGCUAGGGUCCGGUAGAGGGGAAUGGAAUUCCCGGUGUAGCGGUGAAAUGCGCAGAUAUCGGGAGGAACACCAGUAGCGAAGGCGGUUCCCUGGGCCGGUACCGACGCUGAGGAGCGAAAGCGUGGGUAGCAAACAGGAUUAGAUACCCUGGUAGUCCACGCCGUAAACGUUGGGUACUAGGCGUGGCGUCUUAUCAACGGAUGCCGUGCUCGAAGCUAACGCGUUAAGUACCCCGCCUGGGGAGUACGG
This 640-nucleotide ribosomal RNA is filed under the name uncultured bacterium. RNAcentral's name for it is "bacterial SSU rRNA". It matches the Rfam family "Bacterial small subunit ribosomal RNA", at positions 232 to 885 of the family's 1533-position model. RNAcentral also lists the same sequence under 1 other name. The record is from RNAcentral.